RNAcentral lists this ribosomal RNA (457 nucleotides) under uncultured Rhodocyclaceae bacterium. RNAcentral's name for it is "bacterial SSU rRNA". It matches the Rfam family "Bacterial small subunit ribosomal RNA", at positions 924 to 1382 of the family's 1533-position model. Lineage: Bacteria; Pseudomonadati; Pseudomonadota; Betaproteobacteria; Rhodocyclales; Rhodocyclaceae. The record is from RNAcentral.
CACAAGCGGUGGAUGAUGUGGAUUAAUCGAUGCAACGCGAAAACCUUACCUACCCUUGACAUGUCCGGAAUCCCGAAGAGAUUUGGGAGUGCUCGCAAGAGAACCGGAACACAGGUGCUGCAUGGCUGUCGUCAGCUCGUGUCGUGAGAUGUUGGGUUAAGUCCCGCAACGAGCGCAACCCUUGUCAUUAGUUGCCAUCAUUUGGUUGGGCACUCUAAUGAGACUGCCGGUGACAAACCGGAGGAAGGUGGGGAUGACGUCAAGUCCUCAUGGCCCUUAUGGGUAGGGCUUCACACGUCAUACAAUGGUCGGUACAGAGGGUUGCCAACCCGCGAGGGGGAGCUAAUCCCACAAAGCCGAUCGUAGUCCGGAUCGCAGUCUGCAACUCGACUGCGUGAAGUCGGAAUCGCUAGUAAUCGCAGGUCAGCAUACUGCGGUGAAUACGUUCCCGGGCCUU